UCUCGAUUAGUAUAGUGGUCAGUAUGCCAGCUUGUCAUUUCCAUCAUACUUGGAGUGCGCUGGAGACCGGGGUUCAAUUCCCCGAUCGAGAG
Neopestalotiopsis sp. 37M is the source of this 92-nucleotide non-coding RNA. The record is from the annotation of a GenBank genome assembly. NCBI's taxonomy places the organism in Eukaryota, Fungi, Ascomycota, Sordariomycetes, Amphisphaeriales, Sporocadaceae.